Triticum dicoccoides is the source of this 2839-nucleotide RNA transcript. It is a transcript of the gene named zinc finger CCCH domain-containing protein 67-like, with no coding region annotated. The record is from RefSeq and is a predicted model, not a curated record. The transcript has 2 exons. Lineage: Eukaryota; Viridiplantae; Streptophyta; Magnoliopsida; Poales; Poaceae.
CCUCCCUUUCCCCUCCCCCUCCCCGCUUUCCACCAUUUCUUCGAACACCUUCUCCGAUCGCGCGCCGCCGCCCAUGGGGGAGGCCUCCGAGUAUGACGGGGUGGAUGUGGCGGCUGUAUCGGCGAGGUUGCUGGAGCUGGUGGCCGACGACGACGUGACGGCGCUCGUCGACCUUCUCGCCGCGCACCCGCUCCUCGCGGAUGAGCCGGCGCCGUGGUACUCUCCGGCGCGGGGCGCGGAGCCCAUGACGCCGCUCAUGGUCGCCGCCGCGUACGGGUCCCUGGCUUGCCUCGACGCCCUCCUCUCGCCGCCCCACCUCGCCGACCCCAACCGCGCAUCCGCCUCCUCGCUCUCCACCCCGCUCCACCUCGCCGCCGCGGGCGGCGCUCCAUCCGCACCCACCACCGUUUCCCGCCUCCUCGCUGCCGGCGCCGACCCUACCCUCCUUGACCAUCUCCACCGCCGGCCGUCAGACCUCGUCGCGCUGCCGCCAAACUCGUUGCCCCUCAAGAACCACAUCCUCUCACUCCUUGGCGCCCGGAAGGAGUGGCCACCGGACCCCUCACUCCCGGACAUCAAGAACGGCGCAUACGCUUCCGACGACUUCCGCAUGUAUUCCUUCAAGGUCCGCGCGUGCUCCAGGGCCUACUCCCACGACUGGACGGAGUGCCCCUUCGUCCACCCAGGAGAGAACGCGCGGCGGAGGGAUCCGAGGAAGUACCACUACAGCUGCGUGCCGUGCCCGGAGUUCAAGAAGGGCGCCGGGUGCAGGAGAGGGGACAUGUGCGAGUAUGCGCACGGGGUGUUCGAGAGCUGGCUCCACCCGGCGCAGUACCGGACGCGGCUCUGCAAGGACGGCGUCGGCUGCGCGCGCCGCGUCUGCUUCUUCGCUCACACGCCGGAGGAGCUCCGGCCGCUGUACGUGUCCACAGGCUCGGCCGUGCCGUCGCCCCGCGGGGCGAUGGAGAUGGCCGCCAUGGGGAUGGGGCUGUCAUCUCCGGGAUCUUCGUUCACGCCGCCGCUGUCGCCGUCCGGUGGAGGGAGUGGCAUGGCGUGGCCGCAGCCUAACUUGCCGGCGCUGUGCCUCCCCGGGAGCGCAGGGAACUUGCACCUGAGCCGGCUGCGCACCUCGCUGAGCGCGAGGGCCAUGGCGGUCGACGAGCUUCUGGCCUCGGGGGACUAUGACAACCACCUUGGAUCGCCUGCCUCUGUGCGGUCGGCGAGGGGGAAGGCGCUUGUGCCGUCAAAUCUGGACGAACUGUUCUCGGCGGAGAUGGCGGCCUCCCACUCGCCGCGGUACGCCGACCAGGGCGGCGCUGCGUUCUCGCCGACGCACAAGGCCGCCUUCCUGAACCAGUUCCAGCAGCAUCAGAGCUUGCUCUCGCCACGGGCUGCGGCCACCCCAGAGCCUGUCUCACCAAUGAGCUCCCGGCUGCUCGCUGCGUUGGCGCAGCGGGAGAAGAUGCAGCAGCAGACACUGCGAAGCAUGAGCUCAAGAGACCUGGGCUCCAGCGCCCCGCUCCUGGUCGGCUCACCGGUGGUGGGCUCUAGCUGGUCCAAAUGGGGCCUCCCCUCGGGCACCCCAGAUUGGGGCGCUGACAACGACGAGCUUGGCCGUCUCAAGCGGUCCUCGUCGUUUGAUCUCCGGUCUGGGGCCAACACCGAUGAGCCUGACCUCUCAUGGGUCAAUACCUUAGUAAAGGAGCCCACGCCGGAGAAAUCAUCAACCAACGGGACCAUGGCAACAGAGUCUAUUGGCAUCUUGGGCCGAUCAGCAAGCCACCACGAGAGCAUUGCCGGUGAUGACAGUGCCAUCUUGGGUCGAACAGCGAACCACCGUGAGGGCAUCAUCGACGGUGAGGAGGACGCCGCCACUGGUGUCAUCGGUGGGUGGCUCGAACAGCUCCAGCUCGAUGAGAUGGUAGUUUAGAACAACCAAACACACAGAUGAAUCAAGAGAGGUGAAAUUUUUUUGGCUGUGCUUCAACCGGCUGCUACUGCCUGCUGCUGCUAAGUUACCAGCCUCAGGACAUCAUGCUAGCAAGUACUGGUGCCACAUUCUUUUGGGGUUGUUUGGUGUAGAAGGUGAGGAGAUUUUUAGCAUUUCGAGCUUGGCCACAGGUGAAGCAAAUGGAGGAAAUGGAGCCUAAUCAACUGCAUCAAAAUUGCCAGCUUUGCCUAGAUUACGUUAUAGCAUCACACAGCAUUACAUCUAUGUGGAGUAAUCGUUGUUCAUCUGCUGUUGCUGGUUCCAAAUGCCGGAAUUAUUUUCUUCAUUCCUGCAGGGAAUUAAAACUUUCCGGGCGGGGAAAAAGAAUCCAAGGUCGGCAGGGGCAUUGACAAAGAUUGUGCUUGGAAUUUGGACGGAUCCCUUCUCUUUCUCCUGGAGGCAUUGAAAAGGAUCGGAUGGUUAACAUCAUAGUACACAUCGACCACUGCGAGGUUCACUUCUGAUGCGCUAUCGAUGAGUCCUCGUCUGCCCUGACCGAUGCAUCUUUCUUGUCAUAAUAAAACAACUGGCACGGACGGUGGCUCGGUAUGGUCGCCUCACGCCUUGGCUCACCCGCUGUGCUGACAUGUACUGUGUGACCGGGAAUACAAAAUAAAAUUGGGCUGCAUUAUCCUGGCAUGCAUAAUUUUACUACGAAGGUCUUGCACUGGAGACAAGAGCUGCUCUCGGGCCUACCAACAUGACCUGCAAAACGUGGGUGCGCCAAUAUGAACAAUUACUGUGUUAGGAGUUGCUUUAUAUAUAAAAAGUAGGGCGAGAGCCGAGAGGAGUAUGAUAAAAACUUAUUGUUUUCUUCAAGUGAUUCCAAACUAGCUCCGGUCACAAAUG